CUCAAUUAUGUUCCCGCGAGAGUGCUGAGGCAUACAGUAAUUCAUAAGCCCGGCUAGCCCAGUAAAACAGGAAUAAGUCUUAAAGUCAGCUUUUGGUCUGGAGCUCUGGGUACAUGCGACUGCUCAGAAUGGUGGUCAUUCUUUUUUUUUUUUUUAACUGCUCCUCUUCUGGUUGCUUUUUCUCACUUGAUCUGUGAACCCAAUUGUGGGUAAAUGCACCUAUCU
Non-coding RNA from Pelobates cultripes (western spadefoot toad), 225 nucleotides. The record is from the annotation of a GenBank genome assembly. NCBI's taxonomy places the organism in Eukaryota, Metazoa, Chordata, Amphibia, Anura, Pelobatidae.